GCGAACUAUUACGCCUUGGCUUUGGAUGAAUCAACCGAUGUCACCGAUACGGCGCAGUUAAUAAUUUUUUACGCUACCUGGAUCAAACGAGAGAAACUUUUGUUGAGGAGAUAUUAGCUCUUUUGCCAUUAUUAGGAAGAACUCGAGGAGAAGACAUGAUCAAAACAGUAAUUGAUUAUUUUGAUAAAGACGAGUUGGACUUGAAAAAGCUUUUAUCGAUAACUACAGACGGCGCGCCAGAAAUGGUUGGAAGUAAAAAAGGACUUGUUCACCUUUUGAGUAGCAAUGCAAGAUGCAACGAAAAUUCGAUUUGUUUCCACUGUAUUAUUCACCAAACAGUGCUUUGCUGUAAACUCAAUCAUAAUUUUGAGCGCGUUAUGCAAGAAGUGGUGAAAAUAGUUAAUUUUCUACGUGCAAAAUCAUCACUGCAACAUCGUGAGUUAAAAUCAUUUCUUGAAGAAGUUAAUGCACAAUAUGACGAUCUACUGUUGCAUAACAAUGUAAGAUGGUUGAGUAAAGGCUGCGUAUUGGAAAGAUUCUUCAGCCUUUUAGAGCACUUGAAGACAUAUAUUUCCAAUAGCAAUCAGAUUUCAGCAAACGCCUACUUAAGUUUUCUAAACGAAAAAGAAAAUGUAGCUAUCAUUGCUUUUUUAACGGAUAUUUUCAAAUAUAUCAAUGACUUGAACAACUUCAAGGCAAGGGAAAGCUUAUAUGGGAGCUCAUGUCAGAAGUGAAAAGUUUUUCGCGGAAAUUAGAUGUCUUUAUUAAUGAUAUCAGUAAUGAAUGCUUACACUUUCCUAAUUUAAAAAAAAUAAUAAUCAGCAGUGACAAUGAGAUUGACGUCAACCAAUACAAGACGUUCAUUUCAGAUCUCAAAUCGGAAUUUCAAACAAGGUUCGCUGAUUUUAAGAAAAUUUAGAUUAUGUUGUAGAAAUCCUCAGCAGUAUUUACUCUCUGCAUCCCGAUGGUAAAUGGAGCAGCGAAGCUGCAAGUGUUUUCGGAAGUGAUAAAGCUAUUCUGCAGAUCGAAAUGAUCGAUUUCCAAGAAAACACAGUUUUAAAGCACAAACAUGCCGAAGUUUCCAGUGAAGAGUUCUGGAUAAAAUUUGUGUGUGGUAAUAAAUAGGUAUCCAGAACUACAAAAAUUAGCUUUGAAACUUCUCACUUUGUUUGGGUCAACAUAUAUUUGCGAAGCUGCAUUUUCGAAGAUGAACUUCGUUAAGAAUAGAUUUCGAUCUCGACUUACUGAUGAACAUCUUCAGGAUUCAAUGUCAAUAGUUUGCACCAAUUCCACUCCAAACUUCAGACAGAUAAUUAACAAUAAAAAAUGUCACUUUUCUCAUUGAUAUGUAACUUUUGUAAUUUCCGUAAUUACCUUUUUUUAAUAAUUUUUUUUUAUAAUAUAUGUGGACCGCGAAGGUCAUUUCAUUUCUAAAAAUGGACCCCGACCGAAACUAAUCGGUGACCCCUGUCUUAGACAAUGCUUCAUAUCACAAUACAUGGUCUCAAAAACUUCCGACAUCGGCUACAAGGAAAUGAAGCAAUGGCUCAAGGAUAAGGGUAUACCAUUUGAGCAAUCUCUCCUUAAAUUGUAAUUGUACGACAUUAUAAAAAAACACAAAGCUGAACACAUAGCGUACAAAAUUGAUGAUUUUAUUAAGAGCAAGGGUUUUGAGGUCACACGCCUUCCCGUAUCACCCAGAAUUAAAUGCCAUUGAAAACAUUUGGGGGAUUGUAAAAAAUUAUAUCGCAUCAAAGAAUAUCGAGCAAAACAUGACAAACACGGAAAUACUGAUCAACGAAAGCUUGUAUCGAGUAAGCAGCGAAACAUGGCAAAAAACGUGUGCUCAUGUCGAAAAAAAUUGAAAAAGAAUACGUAAAAUACGUCGACCUGGAUUUUGAGUUCAUAAUUAAUUUGCAGGACGAUUCCAACGACAGCGAAUCGGAACUUGAAUCCGAUAGUGAUUAAGUGCUGUUUUUUUAUGUCUAUUCUGUAAUAAAUAAAAAUACUUAUUUACCUACAACUAUUGUGUUUCUAUUCAAUGCAACCUAUCAUUCAGUUAUCAUUAUCAGUAUCAAACAGUUUAGAUCUUUAUACUCACUCUAAAAUUACUACUUAUGUACAUCAAAUUGGCGAAGCAUUUUAAUUUGAAUUCUAAUAUCUAAAAAAAUUUAAAAAAACUUAAAUUAAAAAUAUUCAAAGUGUGUCAGAUUUCUUUCCUAACGCUCCCUACGUUUACACACACAAGCGCGCUUAUCAGUACACGUCACUACUACAACCAGAGCCAAACGGACUUCGUGAAAUAGAAUAUCUUUAAAUAAAUUUAAAGAUAUUUAGUGCUCUGUAAUACCUAAAGUUUUCCUAGUAAAUAAUUAAAAUGAUUUUAUUUUGUUUUAGGAUUAGAACAAAUUCCUACACACAAAGAAUGCACUUUUGUCGUCGACGUGAAAGAUGUGAAUUUUUUGAGGAGCAUAUUAUGGACACAUGAGGUUCAAGUUUGAUCGAGGGGGAUUGUGAACUAUCAUAAUUUACAUAGCUGGGCACCGAAAGACCAGAAUCCAAAAUUGAAAAGGCACAGAGCAUUUCAAAGAAAGUUUUCUGUGAAUUUUUGGGCAGGCGUCAUUGGCAACCAAUUAAUUGGACCUCAUUUCCUGCCAGACAAUCUAAACAGAGACAAUUAUUUAAGUUUCCUAGAAAACGAGCUGCCUAGGAUGUUGUUUUGACGAAGAUCGACCAAUUGUGUUUCAACAUGAUGCUUGUCCGGCUCAUUGGAGUUUGCUGGUGAGGGAAUUUCUAAAUAAUUCAUUCAACAUUCACAUUCAACUCUUGGAUUGGUAGAGGCGGUCUAAUUCCUUGGCCUCCAAGAUCUCCAGAUCUCACUCCCCUGGACUUUUACGUGUGGGGAAGGGCCAAGGAAUUGGUUUACUUCGAUGAAAUUAGUACAAAAGAAAUUUUAAUUGAAAAAAUCAAUGCUGCAUUUGCAACAAUGAGGCAAGAAUUACUACUUCGCACGAUGACCGUCGAAAUGAGAAAAAGGUGCCGUGCGUGUUUACAGACAAGAAAAGGUUAUUAAUUUAUUUUUUAUACCGUUGGAAAGAGCACAAGCCGCAGUUGUUUUUGUGAAAUUAGAAUCAAUCUAAUGCUCGUAGCUUUUCGUUUUUUUUCGUUUGACAAUAACAAUUAAAUGUUAUGGAUUUUAUUUAAUUAAAAUCAAAUCGUUACUGCUGCGCAAUUUCAAUCAAGACCCUUUAGAAAAUUUUUUUGGUGCAAUAAGGGCUCAUGGGCAUCGAAAUAUAAUGCCUACAGUGCCGGCAUUUGAGGCUUCUUAUAAAGCGCUUUUAAUAAAUAAUAUGGUUUCGCCUAAAUCAAUUGGGGCUAAUAGCGAAAGUGAUGAUGGCUAUUGCUUACAAAAUCUCAAAUCCCUUUUUUAUGAAAACAUUGUUAAGCCCUUACCUAAAAAUAUAAUAAUAAAUUUUGAUCACAUAACAUGUAUCUAACCAACAUUGAUAAUUUAAUAAAAAGCCAAAAUCCGUUAAUCAUCGAAAAAUGCGCAGCAGCUGCUUAUUGUAGUGGUUGGGUUAUUAAAACAAUUUAUACAAAUAUUGGUUAUUGUGAAAUGUGUAAAAGUGAUUUAGAAGGGGAUGGUGAAGAAAUCUAUUCAAAAUUUAUAACUAUGAAAAAAUAUUCCGAAAAAUGCAAUCUUCA
Molecule: long non-coding RNA, 3705 nt
Organism: Ostrinia furnacalis (Asian corn borer)
Lineage: Eukaryota; Metazoa; Arthropoda; Insecta; Lepidoptera; Crambidae
Exons: 2
Source: RefSeq, a predicted model, not a curated record